UAGUAUUUUCGAGGGAUCGCUUGGCUGUGUCGACGUAAGAACGCAGCAGAGUGCGAUAAUGAGCGCAGUGAGCAAUCGCUGGUUCGUGUUCACGACAACUCUCUGAACUUAAGCAUAUCAAUAAGAGAAG
RNAcentral lists this ribosomal RNA (130 nucleotides) under Anopheles epiroticus. RNAcentral's name for it is "5.8S ribosomal RNA". Lineage: Eukaryota; Metazoa; Arthropoda; Insecta; Diptera; Culicidae. The record is from RNAcentral.